Small nuclear RNA from Ochotona curzoniae (black-lipped pika), 106 nucleotides. NCBI's taxonomy places the organism in Eukaryota, Metazoa, Chordata, Mammalia, Lagomorpha, Ochotonidae. The record is from RefSeq and is a predicted model, not a curated record.
GUGCUCGCUUCGGCAGCACAUGUACUAAAAUUAGAAUGAUACAGAGAAGAUUAGCAAGCCACUAGGCCGUGAUGGUUGUAUUUUUUGAAAUGUAUUUAUAUAGUAU